Molecule: non-coding RNA, 47 nt
Organism: Amphimedon queenslandica
Lineage: Eukaryota; Metazoa; Porifera; Demospongiae; Haplosclerida; Niphatidae
Source: Rfam
CAAACAGCUCUUUUCAGAGCUACAACUCUUUCCCCAUUUCUUUAACU